CAGUAGCCACGGGAACACAGAGGGUGCGAGCGUUAAUCGGAUUUACUGGGCGUAAAGCGUGCGUAGGCGGCUUCUUAAGUCGGAUGUGAAAUCCCUGAGCUUAACUUAGGAAUUGCAUUCGAUACUGGGAAGCUAGAGUAUGGGAGAGGAUGGUAGAAUUCCAGGUGUAGCGGUGAAAUGCGUAGAGAUCUGGAGGAAUACCGAUGGCGAAGGCAGCCAUCUGGCCUAAUACUGACGCUGAGGUACGAAAGCAUGGGGAGCAAACAGGAUUAGAUACCCCUGUAGUCCCUGUCUCUUAUAA
This 301-nucleotide ribosomal RNA is filed under the name uncultured bacterium. RNAcentral's name for it is "partial 16S ribosomal RNA". It matches the Rfam family "Bacterial small subunit ribosomal RNA", at positions 509 to 809 of the family's 1533-position model. The record is from RNAcentral.